This 402-nucleotide ribosomal RNA is filed under the name Bacteroidota bacterium. RNAcentral's name for it is "Bacteroidetes bacterium partial 16S ribosomal RNA". It matches the Rfam family "Bacterial small subunit ribosomal RNA", at positions 355 to 776 of the family's 1533-position model. The record is from RNAcentral. Lineage: Bacteria; Pseudomonadati; Bacteroidota.
UGGGGAAUUUUGCACAAUGGGGGAAACCCUGAUGCAGCGACGCCGCGUGAUUUAGAAGGCCUUCGGGUUGUAAAAAUCUUUUCUAUGGGAAGAAAAUGACAGUACCAUAGGAAUAAGGACCGGCUAAUUACGUGCCAGCAGCCGCGGUAAUACGUAAGGUCCGAGCGUUGUCCGGAAUCAUUGGGCGUAAAGGGUACGUAGGCGGGUAAGCAAGUUAGAAGUGAAAUCCUGUAGCUCAACUACAGUAAGCUUUUAAAACUGCUCAUCUUGAGAUAUGGAAGGGAAAGUGGAAUUCAUAGUGUAGCGGUGAAAUGCGCAGAUAUUAGGAGGAAUACCGGUGGCGAAGGCGACUUUCUGGCCAUAAUCUGACGCUGAGGUACGAAAGCGUGGGUAGCAAACAGG